ACGAGUAGCUGGUCUGAGAGGACGGUCAGCCAGAGGGGCAUUGAGAUACGGGCCCCACUCCUACGGGAGGCAGCAAUCAGGCAUAGUCGGCAAUGGGCGAAAGCCUGACCGCGCGACGCCGCGUGUAGGAAGAAGCUCUAACGAGUGUAAACUACUGUGGUAGAGGAAGAAGUCCUGACUUAAGUCAGGAUUGACGGUACUCUACUAGAAAGGGGCCGCUAACUGCGUGCCAGAAGCGUCGGUAAUACGUGGGCCCCAAACAUUAUCCGGUUUUAUUGGGUGUAAAAGGUCGUGUAGGUGUCCCGCUAAGUUUCAUUUUAAUAUACUAUAGCUUAACUAUAGGAAAGGAUGAAAUACUAGCGGGAUUGAGUUAUCUUUAGGGAGAUUGGAACUCAAGGAGGAGCAGUGAAAUGCGUUGAUACCUUGAGGAACACCAGUGGCGAAGGCGAAUCUCUGGAAGAUAACUGACACUGAGACACGAAAGCUAGGGGAGCGAAGCAGAUUAGAGACCUGCGUAGUCCUAGCCCUAAACGCGUGCUUGCUAGCUGCAUUGGUCCGCCGUAGGCGGACUGGUGUGGCGAAGGUAACCCGUUAAGCAAGCUACCUGGGGAGUACGGCCGCAAGGCCUGAAACUCCAAAGGAAUAUGGCCGGGGAGGCACACAACCAGUGGAACAUGUGGUUCAAUUCGAAACGAACCGAAGAACCUCACCAGGGUUUGACAUCCUGACGUUCUAUUCCGAUGAAAAUCGGUGAAUGCGCAAGCAGGUCAGGACAGGUGCUGCAUGGCUGUCGUCAGCUCGUUCCGUGAGGAGUGCCCUUAAGUGGGACAACGAGCGCAACCCCCGCCCGCUGUUAAAUCUGUCAGCGGGGACAGGUUCGAUAUUAUAUCGAACAGGAAGGAGGGGCAGACGUCAAGUCAGCAUGGUCCUUAUACCCUGGGCUACACACAUGUUACAAUGAGUAAAAACAGCGGGUUUUGCUAGCUAGCAAUAGCAAGCAAAUCCCUUAAAUUUACUCUCAGUGGGGAUUGAGGUCUGCAACUCGACCUCAUGAACGCGGAAUUGGUAGUAAUCGCGGAUCAGUCAUGCCGCGGUGAAUACGUUCUUGCCUCUUGCACACACCGCCCGUCAAGCCAACAAAGUUGGGGAGAUUGAAUCCCGAUUUAAUCGGGAGAGUAUUU
Molecule: ribosomal RNA, 1181 nt
Filed under: uncultured bacterium
Lineage: Bacteria
Description: bacterial SSU rRNA
Rfam family: Bacterial small subunit ribosomal RNA
Source: RNAcentral